GGCGAACGGGUGAGUAAUGUAUCGGAACGUGCCCAGUCGUGGGGGAUAACUGCUCGAAAGAGCAGCUAAUACCGCAUACGACCUGAGGGUGAAAGCGGGGGAUCGCAAAACCUCGCGCGAUUGGAGCGGCCGAUAUCAGAUUAGGUAGUUGGUGAGGUAAAGGCUCACCAAGCCGACGAUCUGUAGCUGGUCUGAGAGGACGACCAGCCACACUGGGACUGAGACACGGCCCAGACUCCUACGGGAGGCAGCAGUGGGGAAUUUUGGACAAUGGGCGCAAGCCUGAUCCAGCCACGCCGCGUGCGGGAAGAAGGCCUUCGGGUUGUAAACCGCUUUUGUCAGGGAAGAAAAGGUUCUGGCUAAUACCUGGGACUCAUGACGGUACCUGAAGAAUAAGCACCGGCUAACUACGUGCCAGCAGCCGCGGUAAUACGUAGGGUGCAAGCGUUAAUCGGAAUUACUGGGCGUAAAGCGUGCGCAGGCGGUUAUGCAAGACAGAGGUGAAAUCCCCGGGCUCAACCUGGGAACUGCCUUUGUGACUGCAUGGCUAGAGUACGGUAGAGGGGGAUGGAAUUCCGCGUGUAGCAGUGAAAUGCGUAGAUAUGCGGAGGAACACCGAUGGCGAAGGCAAUCCCCUGGACCUGUACUGACGCUCAUGCACGAAAGCGUGGGGAGCAAACAGGAUUUAGAUACCCCUGGUAGUCCACGCCCUAAAACGAUGUCAACUGGUUGUUNAGGAGGGGUUUCUUCUC
This 752-nucleotide ribosomal RNA is filed under the name uncultured bacterium. RNAcentral's name for it is "bacterial SSU rRNA". It matches the Rfam family "Bacterial small subunit ribosomal RNA", at positions 97 to 841 of the family's 1533-position model. The record is from RNAcentral.